This 253-nucleotide ribosomal RNA is filed under the name Bacteroides eggerthii DSM 20697. RNAcentral's name for it is "partial 16S ribosomal RNA". It matches the Rfam family "Bacterial small subunit ribosomal RNA", at positions 524 to 776 of the family's 1533-position model. Lineage: Bacteria; Pseudomonadati; Bacteroidota; Bacteroidia; Bacteroidales; Bacteroidaceae. The record is from RNAcentral.
UACGGAGGAUCCGAGCGUUAUCCGGAUUUAUUGGGUUUAAAGGGAGCGUAGGCGGGUGCUUAAGUCAGUUGUGAAAGUUUGCGGCUCAACCGUAAAAUUGCAGUUGAUACUGGGCGUCUUGAGUGCAGCAUAGGUAGGCGGAAUUCGUGGUGUAGCGGUGAAAUGCUUAGAUAUCACGAAGAACUCCGAUUGCGAAGGCAGCUUACUGGACUGUAACUGACGCUGAUGCUCGAAAGUGUGGGUAUCAAACAGG